CACGGGCGGCUGCAGUGGGGAAUAUUGGACAAUGGGCGAAAGCCUGAUCCAGCCAUGCCGCGUGUGUGAAGAAGGCCUUCGGGUUGUAAAGCACUUUCAGUGGGGAAGAAAGCCUUGGGGCUAAUACCCUCGAGGAAGGACAUCACCCACAGAAGAAGCACCGGCUAACUCCGUGCCAGCAGCCGCGGUAAUACGGAGGGUGCGAGCGUUAAUCGGAAUUACUGGGCGUAAAGCGCGCGUAGGCGGUCUGAUAAGCUGGUUGUGAAAGCCCCGGGCUCAACCUGGGAACGGCAUCCGGAACUGUCAGGCUAGAGUGCAGGAGAGGAAGGUAGAAUUCCCGGUGUAGCGGUGAAAUGCGUAGAGAUCGGGAGGAAUACCAGUGGCGAAGGCGGCCUUCUGGACUGACACUGACGCUGAGGUGCGAAAGCGUGGGUAGCAAACAGGAUUAGAUACCCGUGUAGUC
This 463-nucleotide ribosomal RNA is filed under the name Vreelandella stevensii. RNAcentral's name for it is "partial 16S ribosomal RNA". It matches the Rfam family "Bacterial small subunit ribosomal RNA", at positions 340 to 795 of the family's 1533-position model. The record is from RNAcentral. Lineage: Bacteria; Pseudomonadati; Pseudomonadota; Gammaproteobacteria; Oceanospirillales; Halomonadaceae.